Molecule: long non-coding RNA, 639 nt
Organism: Ceratitis capitata (Mediterranean fruit fly)
Lineage: Eukaryota; Metazoa; Arthropoda; Insecta; Diptera; Tephritidae
Exons: 3
Source: RefSeq, a predicted model, not a curated record
CUUUUCGCUUCAUUAGGCUUGCGCUUUGAUAAAGAGAAAGCUGUUGUCAUAGAGAAAUUGAUUUUAUUUUCUCCUAUUACCGCGUCAUUGCUUGCGCUGAUAAGAAUUGUGGUGUUGAAGAGACGACUGCUCAGCAAGUCUUCCAUCCUCACAAGUGCAAUUGCUGCAUGGAUUAAAGUGUACAAAAUUGUCCGCGAUAUUUCAACAAAUUGGCGGCCGCAACAGUCAAGUCGUUAGAAUUGCGCACUGUCAUUCGGAAAGCCAGAGUUCCUGAUUCGAUCAAAAUUAAUUUUUCUAAUUGCGGUCAUCCCUCGACAGAGAAUAUCAAGCAUAAAACAAAAGCGCCUGAUAAAAAUUCAUUAACUUUUCAGAGGCGCCUUAGAACCAACCUUUAACCAACGACGAUCUGCCUUUGAGCGUAUUUCAAGCGAGAACAAUGCGAGACACGAUUGGAUGGAGCAAAAAGUGUGCGUUGAAAAUAAGUUAUUCUGGGAACAUCGAACGGCUUUUAUUGGUAAUUGUCUUAAGUGGGUAUGUGCAAGUAGUAAGAAGCAAGCUUAACUGGGAAAAGGGAAAGGACACAUAGCUCAAUUUAGGCGGGCUAACGCCUAAUGCCAGCUAAUGCGAGAAAAAAAUAAA